CCUACGGGCGGCUGCAGUGGGGAAUAUUGGACAAUGGGCGAAAGCCUGAUCCAGCCAUGCCGCGUGUGUGAAGAAGGCCUUCGGGUUGUAAAGCACUUUCAGUGGGGAAGAAAGCCUUGGGGCUAAUACCCUCGAGGAAGGACAUCACCCACAGAAGAAGCACCGGCUAACUCCGUGCCAGCAGCCGCGGUAAUACGGAGGGUGCGAGCGUUAAUCGGAAUUACUGGGCGUAAAGCGCGCGUAGGCGGUCUGAUAAGCCGGUUGUGAAAGCCCCGGGCUCAACCUGGGAACGGCAUCCGGAACUGGCAGGCUAGAGUGUAGGAGAGGAAGGUAGAAUUCCCGGUGUAGCGGUGAAAUGCGUAGAGAUCGGGAGGAAUACCAGUGGCGAAGGCGGCCUUCUGGACUGACACUGACGCUGAGGUGCGAAAGCGUGGGUAGCAAACAGGAUUAGAUACCCGAGUAGUC
This 465-nucleotide ribosomal RNA is filed under the name Vreelandella stevensii. Its description in RNAcentral is "partial 16S ribosomal RNA". It matches the Rfam family "Bacterial small subunit ribosomal RNA", at positions 338 to 795 of the family's 1533-position model. Lineage: Bacteria; Pseudomonadati; Pseudomonadota; Gammaproteobacteria; Oceanospirillales; Halomonadaceae. The record is from RNAcentral.